Molecule: ribosomal RNA, 253 nt
Filed under: uncultured bacterium
Lineage: Bacteria
Description: partial 16S ribosomal RNA
Rfam family: Bacterial small subunit ribosomal RNA
Source: RNAcentral
UACAGAGGUCUCAACCGUUGUUCGGAUUCAUUGGGCGUAAAGGGUGCGUAGGCGGUCGCGUAAGUCAGGUGUGAAAUCUCAGGGCUCAACCCUGAAACUGCACUUGAUACUGCGUGGCUCGGGUACUGGAGAGGAGACUGGAAUUUACGGUGUAGCAGUGAAAUGCGUAGAUAUCGUAAGGAAGACCAGUGGCGAAGGCGAGUCUCUGGACAGUUCCUGACGCUGAGGCACGAAGGUCAGGGGAGCAAACGGG